Molecule: long non-coding RNA, 345 nt
Organism: Echinops telfairi (small Madagascar hedgehog)
Lineage: Eukaryota; Metazoa; Chordata; Mammalia; Afrosoricida; Tenrecidae
Exons: 3
Source: RefSeq, a predicted model, not a curated record
AUCACAAGAACAAAACAAAAUGAACACCCCUCUCUUCUGCCGCUCUCCUCUGUAAAACACACAUCUCCAAUUGAUGAAAGCCCCCAGCCACCCACAUCCUCUCAAAAGCCCGUAUAAGAACACAACUUCUACACACGAACCUUCGUUCCUGACUGUAGAGCGAGCCCACCUGCCCAUGGAAGGAUGGAGAGGCCUGAAUGCCCCUCAGCCAUGGCCUGUGCCCAGUCUCACAGCCCCUCCCUGGUACCACAUUGAUAGACACUCUGGGAGAGAGCCUGGACACAAUGGAAUCGCCGCCCAGGCAGUCAGGAUUGAAGGCAUUCCUGUUGACAAGCUAUGCUGGAG